GCUUCCUCCGAGCUCCCCGCUCCACCUUGCGGCGGGGGUGGCGGCUGCCCAGCACCCUGAGAUUCACGGUCCCGUCUCCAGACCGACUAAAAGCAGCACACUUCCCGAUCCUGAGCGUUUCAUAGGAGUUUCCUCCCCACAGCGUAAGUCGGCCUCAAUUCAGGCUGUUUUCCUCUUCUCUGACUGAACUGCGCCUAACGUCACCUUGGAAUGGUGCCCCGAAAGGACAAGGCCCGCCCAGCGCUGGCGGCCCGCGCCUGUCAGGAGGACCAGGGUUCGAAGCCAGCCCGGACAGGAGAGCCCACAAGCCUCUGCCUCCAACCGGCCCCCAGCCAAAGCCGGGCAUGGAGCGGUGGCUCAAGGGGUAGAGCUCCGGCCUCGAGCACAAAACCUCAAGAACACUGCUCAGGCUCGGAGCUUAAGCCCCAGAACCAGCACAAAAUAGAAAACUUACAAGCUGUAUGUAAAGAAAAUAAGCACAGAAUGCAAAACCAGCUAAAGCCACCAGCACAACCAUGUUCAUUGCAGCAUUGUUUAAACAUAGCCAAGAGCUGGAAUCAACUCAGACGCCCCUCAACAGACAAAUGGAUCAAGAAAAUGUGGUAAACAUCUUCAAGUUGCCUGAGGAAAUCUUAACCAGGAGCCAGUGGAUCCCACCUGUCAUCCUAGCUACUGAGGAGGCUGAGAUCUGAGCAUCAUGGUUCGAAGCCAGCCUGGGCAGGAAA
Molecule: long non-coding RNA, 725 nt
Organism: Dipodomys spectabilis (banner-tailed kangaroo rat)
Lineage: Eukaryota; Metazoa; Chordata; Mammalia; Rodentia; Heteromyidae
Exons: 3
Source: RefSeq, a predicted model, not a curated record